ACACUCCUGCGGGAGGCAGCAGUGGGGAAUAUUGCACAAUGGGCGCAAGCCUGAUGCAGCCAUGCCGCGUGUGUGAAGAAGGCCUUCGGGUUGUAAAGCACUUUCAGCGGGGAGGAAGGCGAUACGGUUAAUAACCGUGUUGAUUGACGUUACCCGCAGAAGAAGCACCGGCUAACUCCGUGCCAGCAGCCGCGGUAAUACGGAGGGUGCAAGCGUUAAUCGGAAUUACUGGGCGUAAAGCGCACGCAGGCGGUCUGUCAAGUCGGAUGUGAAAUCCCCGGGCUCAACCUGGGAACUGCAUUCGAAACUGGCAGGCUUGAGUCUUGGAGAGGGGGGUAGAAUUCCAGGUGUAGCGGUGAAAUGCGUAGAGAUCUGGAGGAAUACCGGUGGCGAAGGCGGCCCCCUGGACAAAGACUGACGCUCAGGUGCGAAAGCGUGGGGAGCAAACAGGAUUAGAAACCCGGGUAGUCCC
This 472-nucleotide ribosomal RNA is filed under the name uncultured organism. Its description in RNAcentral is "partial 16S ribosomal RNA". It matches the Rfam family "Bacterial small subunit ribosomal RNA", at positions 333 to 797 of the family's 1533-position model. The record is from RNAcentral.